Molecule: long non-coding RNA, 482 nt
Filed under: Oryza sativa (Asian cultivated rice)
Lineage: Eukaryota; Viridiplantae; Streptophyta; Magnoliopsida; Poales; Poaceae
Description: long non-coding RNA (OSAT_LNC001336)
Source: RNAcentral
UUCAAGCAGGACAUGCAACCAGCCAUGUGACCACACGGAAUGCAGGCACCUUCCACAGGAGCAUCCAAACAAAUAACACAGGUUCCCGGUGGAGUGUUACCGCUGUUGCUUGCAUUAGCAUCACUUUCUGCAGGUUUUGCAUCACCUUCGUUCUCUGCAGGUUUUGCAGAGCUUACCGCUGUACCACCGUCAGCAGAAGGCAUGGUUACGUCGACUGGCGUGGAAUCUAUUGACGGAUACUGAAUAGGACCAUCGUAGAAGGUUCCCACGGCAAGUGGAGGCGCAGUUGGGACUGGAAGAGAUGGAAGCGCCUCCUGCGGAACCACGAAAGUGCUGUUCUGGCUUUUGUUGUGUUUGGACGAACUUUGGCCAGAGCUUGUUCCAGGCACGUCCCACCCAUUGUAUGUGCUACUGCUUGAUGUAACAACUGGUACUUGGCCACUUGUCUUUGAAGGCGCAGAAGUAUCUGGUGGGCCCCAUCC